This 558-nucleotide ribosomal RNA is filed under the name Peribacillus frigoritolerans. Its description in RNAcentral is "bacterial SSU rRNA". It matches the Rfam family "Bacterial small subunit ribosomal RNA", at positions 357 to 915 of the family's 1533-position model. Lineage: Bacteria; Bacillati; Bacillota; Bacilli; Caryophanales; Bacillaceae. The record is from RNAcentral.
GGGAAAAAAGCACGAAGUCUGACGGAGCACGCCGCGUGAACGAAGAAGGCCUUCGGGUCGUAAAGUUCUGUUGUUAGGGAAGAACAAGUACCAGAGUAACUGCUGGUACCUUGACGGUACCUAACCAGAAAGCCACGGCUAACUACGUGCCAGCAGCCGCGGUAAUACGUAGGUGGCAAGCGUUGUCCGGAAUUAUUGGGCGUAAAGCGCGCGCAGGUGGUUCYUUAAGUCUGAUGUGAAAGCCCACGGCUCAACCGUGGAGGGUCAUUGGAAACUGGGGAACUUGAGUGCAGAAGAGGAAAGUGGAAUUCCAAGUGUAGCGGUGAAAUGCGUAGAGAUUUGGAGGAACACCAGUGGCGAAGGCGACUUUCUGGUCUGUAACUGACACUGAGGCGCGAAAGCGUGGGGAGCAAACAGGAUUAGAUACCCUGGUAGUCCACGCCGUAAACGAUGAGUGCUAAGUGUUAGAGGGUUUCCGCCCUUUAGUGCUGCAGCUAACGCAUUAAGCACUCCGCCUGGGGAGUACGGCCGCAAGGCUGAAACUCAAAGGAAUUGACG